RNAcentral lists this transfer RNA (85 nucleotides) under Ignavibacteria bacterium. RNAcentral describes it as "tRNA-Leu". It matches the Rfam family "tRNA". Rfam says of the family: Transfer RNA (tRNA) molecules are approximately 80 nucleotides in length. Their secondary structure includes four short double-helical elements and three loops (D, anti-codon, and T loops). Lineage: Bacteria; Pseudomonadati; Ignavibacteriota; Ignavibacteria. The record is from RNAcentral.
GCUCGGGUGGCGGAACAGGUAGACGCACAGGACUUAAAAUCCUGUGGGAGCAUAUCCCGUGUGGGUUCGAGUCCCACCCCGAGCA